RNAcentral lists this ribosomal RNA (434 nucleotides) under uncultured microorganism. RNAcentral's name for it is "bacterial SSU rRNA". It matches the Rfam family "Bacterial small subunit ribosomal RNA", at positions 9 to 490 of the family's 1533-position model. The record is from RNAcentral.
GAGUUUGAUCAUGGCUCAGAGCGAACGCUGGCGGCAGGCCUAACACAUGCAAGUCGAACGAACUCUUCGGAGUUAGUGGCGGACGGGUGAGUAACACGUGGGAACGUGCCUUUUGGUUCGGAAUAACUCAGGGAAACUUGUGCUAAUACCGAAUGUGCCCCUUCGGGGGAAGGAUUAUCGCCAUUAGAGCGGCCCGCGUCUGAUUAGCUAGUUGGUGAGGUAAAGGCUCACCAAGGCGACGAUCAGUAGCUGGUCUGAGAGGAUGAUCAGCCACAUUGGGACUGAGACACGGCCCAAACUCCUACGGGAGGCAGCAGUGGGGAAUCUUGCGCAAUGGGCGAAAGCCUGACGCAGCCAUGCCGCGUGAAUGAUGAAGGUCUUAGGAUUGUAAAAUUCUUUCACCGGGACGAUAAUGACGGUACCCGGAGAAGAAG